UCAGUGGUACAUGAUGACUUAAUCUUUUUCCCCCAUCUUAUCGGCAAUGCUGAUAAAACAUGCGUUAUAGCCAGAUGGUCUGAUUCCACUGA
Small nucleolar RNA from Podarcis muralis (Common wall lizard), 92 nucleotides. Ensembl annotates it as small nucleolar SNORD12/SNORD106. The record is from Ensembl. Lineage: Eukaryota; Metazoa; Chordata; Lepidosauria; Squamata; Lacertidae.